CCUACGGGGUGCAGCAGUGGGGAAUAUUGCACAAUGGGGGAAACCCUGAUGCAGCGACGCCGCGUGAGUGAAGAAGCGUUUCGGCGCGUAAAGCUCUGUCAGCGGGGAAGAAACACGGUUCGCGAGAGCCGCGGACGGUACCCGACCAAGAAGCCCCGGCUAACUACGUGCCAGCAGCCGCGGUAAUACGUAGGGGGCAAGCGUUAUCCGGAUUCACUGGGUGUAAAGGGAGCGUAGACGGCGAGGCAAGUCUGGAGUGAAAGGCCGGGGCCCAACCCCGGGACUGCUCUGGAAACUAGUGAACUUGAGUGCAGGAGAGGUAAGCGGAAUUCCAAGUGUAGCGGUGAAAUGCGUAGAUAUUAGGAGGAACACCAGUGGCGAAGGCGGCUUACUGGACUGUAACUGACGUUGAGGCUCGAAAGCGUGGGGAGCAAACAGGAUUAGAUACCCGAGUAGUC
This 458-nucleotide ribosomal RNA is filed under the name uncultured bacterium. RNAcentral describes it as "partial 16S ribosomal RNA". It matches the Rfam family "Bacterial small subunit ribosomal RNA", at positions 338 to 795 of the family's 1533-position model. The record is from RNAcentral.